Molecule: ribosomal RNA, 440 nt
Filed under: uncultured bacterium
Lineage: Bacteria
Description: partial 16S ribosomal RNA
Rfam family: Bacterial small subunit ribosomal RNA
Source: RNAcentral
CCUUCGGGAGGCAGCAGUGGGGGAUCUUGCACAAUGGGGGGAACCCUGAUGCAGCGACGCCGCGUGUGGGAAGACGGUCCUCUGGAUUGUAAACCACUGUCCCCAGGGACGACAAUGACGGUACCUGUGGAGGAAGCUCCGGCUAACUACGUGCCAGCAGCAGCGGUAAUACGUGGGGAGCGAGCGUUGUCCGGAAUUACUGGGUGUAAAGGGAGCGUAGGCGGGGAUGCAAGUUGGGUGUAAAAACUACCGGCUCAACUGGUAGUCGCACUCAAAACUGCAGCUCUUGAGUGAAGUAGAGGCAGGCGGAAUGCCUGGUGUAGCUGUGAAAUGCGUAGAUAUUAGGAGGAACACCAGUGGCGAAGGCGGCCUGCUGGGCUUUUACUGACGCUGAGGAUCGAAAGUGUGGGGAGCAAACAGGAUUAGAUACCCUAGUAGUC